RNAcentral lists this ribosomal RNA (26 nucleotides) under Pyrenula massariospora. RNAcentral's name for it is "partial large subunit ribosomal RNA". The record is from RNAcentral. Lineage: Eukaryota; Fungi; Ascomycota; Eurotiomycetes; Pyrenulales; Pyrenulaceae.
UUGACCUCGGAUCAGGUAGGAUUACC